UCUCCGUCUGGAGUGGCCCUGAAACUUCUGUGACAUCACAGCUCCCAGCGUGUUGCAGGAGGAAGGUCCAGGUCCUGGAAACGAGCACAGCAGACACUUCACCUGCUGCCAGCGGCCAGUUCUCCCUCGCCCUUCGCUCUGCCCAUCACUGCCGAGCUGUUGCUGCUGCCUGGGCUUUUCCUGACGCCUGCUCUGAAGCCAAUCCCGGCAGGAUGGGCACUGCUGCCCCAGUGGAGACGGUCAGAGACACCCUGGAGGAGAUGGAAGUGGACAUGGUGGUGCAUGGAGAAGAAAUGAUGGAGGUGGACACAGAAGACACUGCCGAGGACAUGGAGGUGGACGUGGAGGACGACACCGAGGAAAUGGAGGUUGAUGAGAAGGAUGAGGAGGAGCCCAUGGUCCUCGGAUGAAGAUGGAGCCCCACGAGCAAGAGAAGCAGAUGCUUCCCACGCCCAGCCCACCUGAGCCACUGCUGGCAGCAGAGUCCAGCGCUGCUGCAUCCUUUCCUCCAGGACUGAGGGAGAUGAUGGACACUGAUAUGACCCCUUUGUAAUUACGUUCUAGGUUUAGAGGUUUUCUGUAAAUAUGUUUUAAAGUUUCUUA
Long non-coding RNA from Vidua macroura (Pin-tailed whydah), 603 nucleotides. RefSeq lists it as uncharacterized. The record is from RefSeq and is a predicted model, not a curated record. The transcript has 2 exons. Lineage: Eukaryota; Metazoa; Chordata; Aves; Passeriformes; Viduidae.